Molecule: long non-coding RNA, 1930 nt
Filed under: Medicago truncatula (barrel medic)
Lineage: Eukaryota; Viridiplantae; Streptophyta; Magnoliopsida; Fabales; Fabaceae
Description: long non-coding RNA (MTRU_LNC001235)
Source: RNAcentral
AGGAAUAGACCAUAUCUAGUUAUAACCUUUGCCUAAUCUUCCAUCAUCUAGGAGGAAACUCACCAACCUUUAAUCGCAUAUCUGCCGAGUUCGACUAACACGGUAAUUAAUUUUCUAGGUAAACAUCUAUAAUAGCUUUGGCAUCAAAUCCACGUUAUAAGGUUAUGUCAUUGCAAUAAGCCAUAAACGUCUCCUUUGUUAAUAUCUCUGAAACUCUAUUUGUUUGUUUGGUGAUUCAAUGUAGUGUUCGCUAUUUGUUUAUUUGUUUGGUGAGUCGAGAUAGUCCUCACAAUUUGUUUGUGAAAUCUCAUGUUAUGAGGUUUCUUUUGGAUAAUUUGGUGAGUCAAGAUAGUGCUCAAAAUUUGUUUGUGAAGAGUUCUCAUUGAAGACAUAUUUGAAUAUUUUCGUGCUUCUCUCUCUAUUUGCUCUUCUAUUUGAUUUCGAUUUGGUUUGAUAUGGUUUUGUGGCCUUGGUUGCUUCUUCCUCUUUGCUUGCUCCUCUUUUGUUUACUAUGAUAUUAGUUGUUGUUUUUUUUUACAAACUCUCGAUGCUUCUAGUCGUUGCAUCAUGGGUUUGAAGUGAGGUGUUAGAUAAUAAAUUAUUAGAUCUAUGUUAUUAGGUCAUUUAAGUUUCUAAGUUACUAGUCUAAUCCAUUAUGUUUUUCUAUAUAUUUGUCGAUUACAUUUGUUAUAUUAUGUCAUUGUAACAAACUCCUGACUGAGUGUAAGAAUGACGUGUUAGGUGAGAGUUCAUGUAAGAAUUUUUCUUUGUUAAACUCUAUUUUGUUAACAAAACUAAUUCAAAAUUCUUGAUAUACAAUUGUUCUAACUCAUUAAUAUUAAAAAAAUAUUGAUAAUCAAGAUACUCCCAAACUUGUCUAGAUUGUAACAUAAACACAUAAUAUAUUUUAUUUUUAAAGAGAAUGUUGACAUCGAACAUACGAAAAAACUUUAAACAAAUUGAAAUAUGCUACUACCCAACCAAAACUAAUAUAGCAAUUCAUGCCUAUAGUGUCCAAAAUCAGGAACCAUAAAACUAGCACUACUAUUAUCUUUUCUCUAAAAAAAAAAAAAAAAAACUAGCACUACUACUAAGACCUCUCUUCCUAUCACACCUGUUUGUAGUGUUAUUGAAGAUUGAAUAGUUAUAUAAUAUUGGAAGUUGACGAGGAACAUGAAUUCAUGUGAAUCUCUUUCCCUUGCAAAGAUGCAUCUAAAUUAAGCUUCAAUUUUUUCAAAGAAGUCUUAAAUUGCUUAAGAGAUUCCAAAGCCAUAUCAUCAAUAGAAUGAUCCCACCAAGAAGGAAGGCAUGAACUACUGUUGUUUGUCUCUUUUACAGCUUGUAAAUUAUUCUUCUCUUCUUUCAGCCGUUCUUGAAUUGUCUCAUGUUGAAGCCUUGAGGUUUCAAUUGUGUACUCAUCUUGCUUCCCUUUUUCAGUGUUGAUGACUGGGUUUUCCUUAUCGAAAAAGUGUUUAAUGACAGUGUCAUGGUUAGGGUAUCCGCAUGCAUGGAGAUUUUUGUUUGGUGAAGUGAUGAUCAGUGCGGUUUUUGCAUUGCAUAGAAUGGAUAAUUCUGUUACUUUGUUGAAGAGUCCUAGUUUGCGCUUUGAAAAGGUAUCACGCCGCUUGUUCGAUGGCUUUGCUUUCUUGAUUUCAAUGGUUUUCUUCCGUGAGUUGCUUCGUUUUGUUGACGUGUUGUUUCCAUCCGUAAGAAGCCAUUGAAUCUUUCUUCCAAGAGAAGAGAAGAAAAAGAGGUAAGAAAGAACUCAAAGAAACAGUGAAAUAAAAAUUUGACUUGGUUGUAAAAUAUUGGAGGAUCCUUCCUUUUAUAGAAACAUACACUCACACACUUUUUUAUUUCUUUAUUUUUACCUCUAAUAUAUUUUAGUUGUUUUCUUAAGAAUGUAUAUUUGUAAUUUUUUUAUUGUGUG